GAUCACCACAUUAUGUAAGUGGGACCAUGCACAUCCAGAAAUGUGUGACCUCCCAGCAGCAUAUGGAAGGGUUCCACUGCUCAGAAGAACGGGACGGGCUGGUGCAGAACAGAGCUCUUGGCUUCGGUGCUCAGCCUGGCUAGCCAUGAGGUGCAAGUCUGCGACAGGAGCACAGAAUUAGCAUCUUCAUUUGCCAGCACCACCCAUUCCAGUUGUUCUGAACUGAGAAAGAUCAUGAAGAAGAAAAAAUUCCUUUAGCUUCCUGUUUCUACUACUCUAAUGGUUUAAUCACACACAUUUGGAAAUACUUUCCCUGCCUGGAGUUGAUUCAGUGUGCUGGACUACUCCCGCAAGGGCUAACACAACAUAAGRAGAGCAGUGUUGGACAAUGGAACCAGAACAAUUGCUUUUGUGGGAGUUUGGCUCAUUGCAGGGGCAAUCUACGAUGGAUGCUUUACGCUACUGGCAGACUUCGGAUAUUUUGCAAAGGCUGUGUUUUCAUAGCCCCACUUCUUUUUGAGGUUAUCUCACCAAAAAGGCUCUGCUACUGUUUUAGCCCUUUGUCUUUCUGUAGACCGCUGCUUUCCAAAUGGGUCCAGGUUAAGGGAGAAACGGCUGGACAUUUGUUGUGUGUGAAAAUCUGGAUUGAUAUGAAUGAGCUGGCAAGGGCUGGCAAGGUUUAGAGGGGGUCAUGAUCAACCACCAAUAGCUGCACAUUCACUGGUAGUAGCUCCUGGCCAACAGAGGAUAGACCUGGGAAACAGAAGAUGGAGAGGUCAAUGCUGACAGCCAAACCUCACCAACACUGGUAGGACAAAAUCUAGAUAUACCCAGGGAACACCUUGCUCUCAGAUGAACCAAGAUGGAUUUGUGGAGAAGUAUUUUAAUGAGAAUAGCAACUAGCUUUUGUGACAAAAGUCAAUGGUAAGUGACUGGAUAAGUAGUAAAUAUUUAUUUAAAAUAAAUUAUGCAUAUUAUAUUAUAUAUAAUAAAUA
This 995-nucleotide long non-coding RNA is filed under the name Dromaius novaehollandiae (emu). Its description in RNAcentral is "lncRNA (ENSDNVG00000007637.1)". Lineage: Eukaryota; Metazoa; Chordata; Aves; Casuariiformes; Dromaiidae. The record is from RNAcentral.